UACAGAGGUCCCAAGCGUUGUUCGGAUUCACUGGGCGUAAAGGGUGCGUAGGUGGCGAAGUAAGUCGGAUGUGAAAUCUCCGAGCUCAACUCGGAAACUGCAUUGGAAACUACUUUGCUUGAGGGUCGGAGGGGGGACUGGAAUUCUCGGUGUAGCAGUGAAAUGCGUAGAUAUCGAGAGGAACACCGGUGGCGAAGGCGAGUCCCUGGACGACUCCUGACACUGAGGCACGAAAGCUAGGGGAGCAAACAGG
RNAcentral lists this ribosomal RNA (253 nucleotides) under uncultured bacterium. RNAcentral's name for it is "partial 16S ribosomal RNA". It matches the Rfam family "Bacterial small subunit ribosomal RNA", at positions 524 to 776 of the family's 1533-position model. The record is from RNAcentral.